Molecule: non-coding RNA, 109 nt
Filed under: Tenacibaculum holothuriorum
Lineage: Bacteria; Pseudomonadati; Bacteroidota; Flavobacteriia; Flavobacteriales; Flavobacteriaceae
Description: SAM-I sequence
Rfam family: SAM riboswitch aptamer (S box leader)
About the family: The SAM riboswitch is found upstream of a number of genes which code for proteins involved in methionine or cysteine biosynthesis in Gram-positive bacteria. The SAM riboswitch acts at the level of transcription termination control.
Source: Rfam by way of RNAcentral
AUGUUAUCACGAAAGGUGGAGGGAAUAGACCCUUUGAAACCUUAGCAACCCUUUGCUCAUGCAAAGAAGGUGCUACAUUCUACCCAAUUUAAAAAGGGAUAGAUAACAA